RNAcentral lists this ribosomal RNA (497 nucleotides) under uncultured bacterium. RNAcentral describes it as "partial 16S ribosomal RNA". It matches the Rfam family "Bacterial small subunit ribosomal RNA", at positions 28 to 507 of the family's 1533-position model. The record is from RNAcentral.
GAUGAACGCUGGCGGCGUGCCUAAUACAUGCAAGUCGAGCGAACGGACGAGAAGCUUGCGUCUCUGAUGUGAGCGGCGGACGGGUGAGUAACACGUGGAUAACCUACCUAUAAGACUGGGAUAACUUCGGGAAAGCGGAGCUAAUACCGGAUAAGAUUUUGAACCGCAUGGUGCAAAAGUGAAAGACGGUGUUGCGGGCACGUAUAGAUGGAUCCGCGCUGCAUUAGCUAGUUGUUAAGGUAACGGCUUACCAAGGCAACGAUGCAUAGCCGACCUGAGAGGCUGAUCGGCCACACUGGAACUGAGACACGCUCCUGACUCCUACGGGAGGCCCCAGUCGGGAAUCUGCCGCAAUGGGCGAGAGCCUGACGGAGCAACGCCACGUGAGUGAUGAAGGUCUUCGGAUCGUAAAACUCUGUUAUUAGGGAUGAACAUAUGUGUAAGUAACUGUGCCCAUCUUGACGGUACCUAGUCAGAAAGCCCCGGCUAACUACGUG